CAAAUUAGAGCUUGAGUUUAAAGUAUUUCAUUUACAUUGAAAUGAUAUUAAUAAUUUAAUUAAUUUGA
This 68-nucleotide transfer RNA is filed under the name Acronicta major. RNAcentral describes it as "tRNA-Val". Lineage: Eukaryota; Metazoa; Arthropoda; Insecta; Lepidoptera; Noctuidae. The record is from RNAcentral.